RNAcentral lists this ribosomal RNA (45 nucleotides) under Brasilonema octagenarum HA4186-MV1. RNAcentral's name for it is "partial 23S ribosomal RNA". Lineage: Bacteria; Bacillati; Cyanobacteriota; Cyanophyceae; Nostocales; Scytonemataceae. The record is from RNAcentral. RNAcentral also lists the same sequence under 3 other names.
AGUCAAGCAAUGAAAGGCGAAUGGUGGAUACCUAGGCACACAGAG